Myodes glareolus (Bank vole) is the source of this 1170-nucleotide long non-coding RNA. RefSeq lists it as uncharacterized. The record is from RefSeq and is a predicted model, not a curated record. Lineage: Eukaryota; Metazoa; Chordata; Mammalia; Rodentia; Cricetidae.
AUAGGUCACAACAGAGAUAUGAGCCUCAGCAGCUGCCCCGGGGCUGAGAGCAGUGCUCCCCAGUUUCAGGAAGAAAUCCACUCCUCAUCCUUGCCACAGGCUAUCCAGUUCUCCAGUUCCUCGUUUAGGUCAACUCCAUGAAACUGAACCCAUAUCCAAGGCUGUUUGGAUGACCAAGAACCUGAGACUAGAUAACCCAGGGACCUAAGUUUUAAAGAAGAGAGAAAAACACAGAGGAUAAGGUGGAGAAGAUCUAGGAGAAGCUGGGAGACAGGAAAAACACGAUCAAAAUAUAUUGUAUUUUUUAAUUAAUAAAAAAGAAUUCCUUUAGCACAGCUGCUGGGCCGCAAAGGCAGAGUAAAUGUUUCCUCUGGCCAACGCAGGUUAAGUGCAAUUCUCACCCCUCAUCAAGAAAAAUUCUCUUUGCAACAAAUGGAGACAGGAACAGAAAACCACAAAGUAGAUCAAAAUGUGAAAUUACAGCGUCUAGUCCCAGCUCACACAUCUCCUCAACUCCUGCACCCAAGACUCAGUGACCACUUCAGAAGAGGAAGUGGAAAGACUACAUUUUCUGUGAGAAUGUGUUUCCUAGAAACAGAGGCACUCCACCCAUGAAAUCUAACCAACACGGUCGUCUUCACAUGCUCUCAGCAAGGAUGUCAAUGGGAAAAAGCUUACCAGGCCUCAGCUCUAGACCAAGACAGGCAACUCAGAAAUGCUGAGAGAGGAUAAAUGGUCUUCCCCAAGGAAGAACACACCAACUCCUUUCUCAAUACGAAGCGAUCAACCUUGAACAAUACAUACAAGUAACAUAUGGUUUUAUUUAUAUAUUUAGAAAUGACUAUAUAUGUAUGCAUAUACACUCACAUAUGUAACAGCAAUUAAAGAAGAAUUUGAGAGAAAGAAAGAGGUGGUGCAUAGGAGAGGUUGGAAAGUGGAAAGGGAAAGAAGUAAAUGAUGCAGUUAUUUUAUACUCUCAAAAAUAAAAAAAUUAUAAUAAAAAACACAUUAAAAUGAAAAAUAUGGUGAGUUACUUAAAUGCCAACUUCUUGGCUGCCUUGGAGAAUUCCGUGAACAGAAACAUGAUAAAAAGCCUGGGAAAACUCUCAUUAAGUGUUUAUCACUUGCUUUAGAAGAAAUGCAAAGAAAAACUUUUUACCAAAAAUACUG